Non-coding RNA from Drosophila virilis, 186 nucleotides. The record is from RefSeq and is a predicted model, not a curated record. NCBI's taxonomy places the organism in Eukaryota, Metazoa, Arthropoda, Insecta, Diptera, Drosophilidae.
ACUGAUGCGCAGCAUUUGACAGCACUGUGCAGAUAGAAGCAGCAGAGCAGCAACCAAGCAAGCCAUGAGAAAUGUAAAGAUUUUAUAACAUUUAAAGUACAAACACUAUAAGCAAUAUUAUAUACACCGACAAUCAGAAUUUGUGCAGUCGCAGCAGCGUGCCCCGAAACAUUUGCACAGUCUCGG